Molecule: ribosomal RNA, 1160 nt
Filed under: Vibrio cholerae
Lineage: Bacteria; Pseudomonadati; Pseudomonadota; Gammaproteobacteria; Vibrionales; Vibrionaceae
Description: partial 23S ribosomal RNA
Rfam family: Bacterial large subunit ribosomal RNA
Source: RNAcentral
GUUGUAUGGUUAAGUGACUAAGCGUACACGGUGGAUGCCUGGGCAGUCAGAGGCGAUGAAGGACGUACUAACUUGCGAUAAGCGCAGAUAAGGCAGUAAGAGCCGUUUGAGUCUGCGAUUUCCGAAUGGGGAAACCCAACUGCAUAAGCAGUUACUGUUAACUGAAUCCAUAGGUUAACAGAGCAAACCGGGGGAACUGAAACAUCUAAGUACCCCGAGGAGAAGAAAUCAACCGAGAUUCCGGUAGUAGCGGCGAGCGAACCUGGAUUAGCCCUUAAGCACUCGGUGAAGUAGGUGAACAAGCUGGAAAGCUUGGCGAUACAGGGUGAUAGCCCCGUAACCGACGCUUCAUCGAGCGUGAAAUCGAGUAGGGCGGGACACGUGAUAUCCUGUCUGAACAUGGGGGGACCAUCCUCCAAGGCUAAAUACUCCUGACUGACCGAUAGUGAACCAGUACCGUGAGGGAAAGGCGAAAAGAACCCCUGUGAGGGGAGUGAAAUAGAACCUGAAACCGUGUACGUACAAGCAGUAGGAGCACCUUCGUGGUGUGACUGCGUACCUUUUGUAUAAUGGGUCAGCGACUUAUAUUCAGUGGCAAGGUUAACCGUAUAGGGGAGCCGUAGCGAAAGCGAGUCUUAACUGGGCGCUCAGUCUCUGGAUAUAGACCCGAAACCGGGUGAUCUAGCCAUGGGCAGGUUGAAGGUUGAGUAACAUCAACUGGAGGACCGAACCGACUAAUGUUGAAAAAUUAGCGGAUGACUUGUGGCUAGGGGUGAAAGGCCAAUCAAACUCGGAGAUAGCUGGUUCUCCCCGAAAGCUAUUUAGGUAGCGCCUCGGACGAAUACUACUGGGGGUAGAGCACUGUUAAGGCUAGGGGGUCAUCCCGACUUACCAACCCUUUGCAAACUCCGAAUACCAGUAAGUACUAUCCGGGAGACACACGGCGGGUGCUAACGUCCGUCGUGGAGAGGGAAACAACCCAGACCGCCAGCUAAGGUCCCAAAGUAUUGCUAAGUGGGAAACGAUGUGGGAAGGCUCAGACAGCUAGGAUGUUGGCUUAGAAGCAGCCAUCAUUUAAAGAAAGCGUAAUAGCUCACUAGUCGAGUCGGCCUGCGCGGAAGAUGUAACGGGGCUAAGCAAUACACCGAAGCUGCGGCAAU